UACAGAGGUCUCAAGCGUUGUUCGGAUUCAUUGGGCGUAAAGGGCGCGUAGGCGGCUUGACAAGUCCCGGGUGAAAUCCCUCGGCUCAACCGAGGAACUGCCUUGGAAACUGUCUGGCUUGAGGCCGGGAGAGGGUAGUGGAAUUCCCAGUGUAGCGGUGAAAUGCGUAGAUACUGGGAGGAACACCGGUGGCGAAGGCGGCAUCCUGGACCAACACUGACGCUGAGUGAGCGAAAGCCAGGGGAGCAAACGGG
RNAcentral lists this ribosomal RNA (254 nucleotides) under uncultured bacterium. RNAcentral's name for it is "partial 16S ribosomal RNA". It matches the Rfam family "Bacterial small subunit ribosomal RNA", at positions 524 to 776 of the family's 1533-position model. The record is from RNAcentral.